Long non-coding RNA from Mercenaria mercenaria, 1042 nucleotides. RefSeq lists it as uncharacterized. The record is from RefSeq and is a predicted model, not a curated record. Lineage: Eukaryota; Metazoa; Mollusca; Bivalvia; Venerida; Veneridae. The transcript is spliced from 2 exons.
CACCCUUGUUACCCGGAUAAUACAAGAUGAUUUGAUAACUCCAACAUGCUACAAACUGGAUGAACUGUCAAACUUGGUAUUCAUUCCAGAAUAGAGAUGGAUGAAAUAGACAACAUUGACGAACAGGUAGAGUUGGCUCCUUUGUUGAAGUUUCAACAACUGAUGAGUACCCUCAUAAAUGUACGGUUUGUAGAAAGGCGUAUAAGCACAGCCAGUCUCUCAUCAGAGAGGUCUUGGUGUACCACUAUGUACACCUAGAUAUUCAGAAUGUGAACAGGGUUUGUGCUAUUAGUGAUUAUAAAAGGUAGUUGACAAUCAAAUACAUGUAUGUACUUUAUAUGGAAUAUAGAGAUCGUGGGGUAAAAAGGGACAGCGGGGGAAAUAAUACUUAUGCACAUGUGUACUUGAAACAAGGAAGGUGCAAGUUGCACACUGUGCCUGUUACCAGCAUAAAAAUGUUAACAGGCUGAUAUCAUCAUGUUUUUACAAAGUAAUUUAUCAAAACAUGUCCACGCACACAAAAGUGGUCAAGCUGUUAUGGGAUGUCAAUGAAAAAAAAUCAAUAUUGGCUAUUAUCAACUUUCAAGGACAACACAUGUAGGGUGUUAUCCAUGGUCAUUUUUGGCUGUUAUCCAUUUUUCAUACAUAGAUCAAUAUAAAUGGUUUUGACAUUAAAACGGCAAAAGUAAACAACUUACUGUAAACUAUGACAGAUAAUGAAAUGGUAGAGUCAUACAUACAGUGAAUUACAAGCGGGUAAAACAAUUCUAAAUAUUUUUUAUGAUUUUUCAAACUAAACUUACAUGGUUUUUGUAAACUAUUUAACAUAUUGUGUAUUGUAUUCACAAAAAUACAGUAAAAUAGUUUGAGUUCCAUGGAAACAAAUCGCCAUUCGUUCUUUUUGCAACAUCUGGGGGUUAAAAUCACUUAUCAAGCCACAGCAACUUACCGAAAAACGUGAAAUUUUCAAAAUAGUUGAUCGGCCAUUUUAUAGCAUGUUGGAGUUAUCACAUCAUCUUGUAUUAUCCGGGUAACAAGGGUG